This 485-nucleotide ribosomal RNA is filed under the name Curtobacterium sp. Rihni. Its description in RNAcentral is "bacterial SSU rRNA". It matches the Rfam family "Bacterial small subunit ribosomal RNA", at positions 1 to 503 of the family's 1533-position model. The record is from RNAcentral. Lineage: Bacteria; Bacillati; Actinomycetota; Actinomycetes; Micrococcales; Microbacteriaceae.
UUAGAGUUUNAUUCCCGCUCAGGACGAACGCUGGCGGCGUGCUUAACACAUGCAAGUCGAACGAUGAUGCCCAGCUUGCUGGGUGGAUUAGUGGCGAACGGGUGAGUAACACGUGAGUAACCUGCCCCUGACUCUGGGAUAAGCGUUGGAAACGACGUCUAAUACUGGAUAUGACUGCCGGCCGCAUGGUCUGGUGGUGGAAAGAUUUUUUGGUUGGGGAUGGACUCGCGGCCUAUCAGCUUGUUGGUGAGGUAAUGGCUCACCAAGGCGACGACGGGUAGCCGGCCUGAGAGGGUGACCGGCCACACUGGGACUGAGACACGGCCCAGACUCCUACGGGAGGCAGCAGUGGGGAAUAUUGCACAAUGGGCGAAAGCCUGAUGCAGCAACGCCGCGUGAGGGAUGACGGCCUUCGGGUUGUAAACCUCUUUUAGUAGGGAAGAAGCGAAAGUGACGGUACCUGCAGAAAAAGCACCGGCUAACUA